AGUGAACGCUGGCGGUAGGCCUAACACAUGCAAGUCGAACGGCAGCACAGUAAGAGCUUGCUCUUACGGGUGGCGAGUGGCGGACGGGUGAGGAAUACAUCGGAAUCUACUUUUUCGUGGGGGAUAACGUAGGGAAACUUACGCUAAUACCGCAUACGACCUACGGGUGAAAGCAGGGGAUCUUCGGACCUUGCGCGAUUGAAUGAGCCGAUGUCGGAUUAGCUAGUUGGCGGGGUAAAGGCCCUCCAAGGCGACGAUCCGUAGCUGGUCUGAGAGGAUGAUCGGCCACACUGGAACUGAGACACGGUCCAGACUCCUACGGGAGGCAGCAGUGGGGAAUAUUGGACAAUGGGCGCAAGCCUGAUCCAGCCAUACCGCGUGGGUGAAGAAGGCCUUCGGGUUGUAAAGCCCUUUUGUUGGGAAAGAAAAGCAGCAGGUUAAUACCCCGCUGUUCUGACGGUACCCAAAGAAUAAGCACCGGCUAACUUCGUG
This 492-nucleotide ribosomal RNA is filed under the name uncultured bacterium. RNAcentral's name for it is "partial 16S ribosomal RNA". It matches the Rfam family "Bacterial small subunit ribosomal RNA", at positions 29 to 507 of the family's 1533-position model. The record is from RNAcentral.